Molecule: ribosomal RNA, 253 nt
Filed under: uncultured bacterium
Lineage: Bacteria
Description: partial 16S ribosomal RNA
Rfam family: Bacterial small subunit ribosomal RNA
Source: RNAcentral
UACGUAGGGUGCAAGCGUUGUCCGGAAUUAUUGGGAGUAAAGAGCUCGUAGGCGGUUUGUAGCGUCUGCUGUGAAAACUCGGGGCUUAACCCCGGGCCUGCAGUGGGUACGGGCAGACUAGAGUGCGGUAGGGGAGACUGGAAUUCCUGGUGUAGCGGUGAAAUGCGCAGAUAUCAGGAGGAACACCGGUGGCGAAGGCGGGUCUCUGGGCCGUAACUGACGCUGAGGAGCGAAAGCAUGGGGAGCGAACAGG